RNAcentral lists this ribosomal RNA (468 nucleotides) under uncultured bacterium. Its description in RNAcentral is "partial 16S ribosomal RNA". It matches the Rfam family "Bacterial small subunit ribosomal RNA", at positions 28 to 507 of the family's 1533-position model. The record is from RNAcentral.
GACGAACGCUGGCGGCGUGCUUAACACAUGCAAGUCGAACGGCAAGGCCCUGCUUUUGUGGGGUGCUCGAGUGGCGAACGGGUGAGUAACACGUGAGUAACCUGCCCUUGACUUUGGGAUAACUUCAGGAAACUGGGGCUAAUACCGGAUAGGAGCUCCUGCUGCAUGGUGGGGGUUGGAAAGUUUCGGCGGUUGGGGAUGGACUCGCGGCUUAUCAGCUUGUUGGUGGGGUAGUGGCUUACCAAGGCUUUGACGGGUAGCCGGCCUGAGAGGGUGACCGGCCACAUUGGGACUGAGAUACGGCCCAGACUCCUACGGGAGGCAGCAGGGGGGAAUAUUGCACAAUGGGCGGAAGCCUGAGGCAGCAACGCCGCGGGCGGGAUGACGGCCUUCGGGUUGUAAACCGCUUUCGCCUGUGACGAAGCGUGAGUGACGGUAAUGGGUAAAGAAGCACCGGCUAACUACGUG